Molecule: long non-coding RNA, 2673 nt
Organism: Eriocheir sinensis (Chinese mitten crab)
Lineage: Eukaryota; Metazoa; Arthropoda; Malacostraca; Decapoda; Varunidae
Exons: 3
Source: RefSeq, a predicted model, not a curated record
UGUAAAGGGGGGUGACUUACAGCUCCGAAGGCCACAGCUCCGGGGUGUUGUGGAAGCCAUCAGGCUGUAGAGAGGCAUCAAACAUAAUUGAAGUCAUUGACGUUUCCUCGUAACAUUCUCCUUGUCCCCUGCCGUCAUAUCGUAACCUUCCCAGUCGUCACCGCGUUGCAUCGAGUUAGUUUGCUCGUUGAUCACUUCUCUUGUCAUUUUUUCCGUACAUCUGAAAUUUAUGAGACUCGUUAUCUUCAUAUAAACCAUCAAACAACAGUGUGUUUCUUUAGUAUGUGAGCAAGUUGAUGCACAACAUCUCAAAGUAUAGGUGAAAUAAAUCUUUGACGUGCGUGAUUUAAAGUGACUUACUGCCGAUCGCUUCAACAUGAGGGUGCUAAUUCAGUCCACUUGGAGACUGACAGGCUUGAGGCAGGGCAGGGGCUGGGUGGGGCUGGCGGCCAGGUACAGGUGUGAGGCGCUGAUAAUCGCAGCCAGGUGUGUGGUUUUACUUAGCGAGGCGGAACAAGCUUUUAAGAUAAACUUUAAGAGCCUCGUGUGCGUGAGUGACGCCAGAAGUGAAGCGUUGUGUGACGGGAGGCAAGGCGCCUCGCUGCUCACAUCCAGCCACGGUGAUAGCGUGACAAAAAUCAAUGAGUGUCGUGCUGGAAGUGCUCAGGCCUGCACAGUGAGGCUGGUGAGCGUGGCCACUCCACUCAUAUGAUUGGAGAGUAUAGAAAAGUACUCAAGAAGAGUAGAGUAGUUGGAAGACUUACAACUGGAGACAAAUGGGAAGUGGAGCGUGGGUGGAGCGCCGUGAUAACGGCGCCGGUCAUGCCCCGAGGCGGGUACAUAUACUUGCAGUUGUCAGCUGAGCCGGGCGAGGCGGCUGUCGUCACGGUGAUCGUGCAGGACACCGUGGCCGCAGAAAGAUGGCCGUGACCAAGCUGGAGGGUAAUGAAGGACAGUAGGAGCAUUGUGGCCAGCAGGCGGCGGCGGGCUGGCCUAGGUGUCGUGAAGGGUGCCGAGAAAACAGAGGCGAGUUAUUUCUGUACCUUUGUGCGUGGCGGGCGGAGUGCGGCAGUGAAGGGGUGGGCGUGACAUGAGCCGUGCCACCUCUCCUCCCGCAGCGCCCCGUCUCGCCCAUCUGUCCAGCAGCAGACUCGCGAACUGCACUCUGAGUGUUAUCGGCCACUUAGCGAUGUGAUGUGCUUUAUGGGUCCCCGAAAAGUGUGCCAGUGGUGGCCUGUGUCCGGGCGGUGCCAAGCCCGAGAGCCACGUGGGGUUCUGGCGCCAGUGGGCCGCCCAUAGGGGUGGUGAUGGAUCACAGCCUCGUGGUGGAGGUGGUGGAGUGGCUCAGUUGUGAACAGACAGUGGAGGAAGGGGGGUGAAGUGUUGUGGCGCGAGGAGGAGGGAGUGUUGGGGUGAUGAAGCAACAAGUGUGUGAAAUGUGAGCGACCAGCGGUUGGUCACCCAUCGUUGCUGCAGUCAGGUGGCCUGGCCUCUCGCAGUUUUAUGUUGUGUCAAGGUGUAGUGACUCGCGUAAUCCUGGUGGAUAGUAGCGUCGCCUUGGAAGCCUCGUCGGCCCAGCCUUUUCACCGAAAACGCCCGCUGCAGUGAGUCCCUCCAGAGGCAGUAUGCUGUGAGGUGCCACCCGCUCGUGGCCCGGCCAUGGGUUAGCCUCCCCGUAAUGUAGGGGCCAUGGGAGAAGACGAUGAUACCCUGCUGCUGAGUGGAGACAUAUUGAAGUUAGGCCUGGGGAUUCAGCUCACUCUAGUCUGCUAUCUAGUGGCUCAGCCUGUGAUGGGGAGCGAUGGCAGUGUGGCUGAUAUGCAUCAUGGAUUCUGUUGGGGGUUUUGUUGGGUAAGUACACGUGCACUGCCUCCCGUCCUGUAGCGUGAGUCUGUCUGGCGGCGGCUUCAACACAGGUGAGGCAGAGCGGCCGGCCCUCCACCCGUACCCGGCCGGCCCUCCCCCUCGCCUGGCCGCCACUCACCGCCUAAUGUGUCGUCAGCGGUGAUGUCUUGGUCGUCAGCCUCCAUCGGCCAAGUAUUGACUGGGGGACACAUUGCCUCUGUUUGACACUUGUUACUGUAUAUGUUUGUAUUGGCGGAGUGAUUGCCUCGGUGAAAACAGACAACACAUUCUUAAAUAUUGGCUGUAGGACACGUUGCAGGCUUUUCGAUCAGUUGUUACCGUUCACUGGGCUUGUGUCGGCAUGAAUUAUCGGAAACAGGCCGACGGUCAGACCCCCAAUCAGUGUUGCAAGUGAAGUUUGUGAUUAGAUCUCGGCAGAUUUCGGUAGGAUAUUAACCAAGGGUGUUCUUUUAAAGUCUCGGCAAUAAUACAUAUCUGUUGUUCAUUAUGAAAGACGAGAAAAUGCAUAGUUUGAAUUUUGGGGCAUCGGUUUGUUCUCUCGUUGCCUCUGUGUUCACUCCCUUUCCUUCUCGGUUUUCAUAAAAAUUGUCUAUCACGCUAAUUACAAAAGAUGAGAAGCUCUAUAUAACAGUGUCAGAAACAUACUUUACGUUUUUGCGUUGCCACUGGGCUUCUUUCAAGUCAGUUUCUUAAUCAUCAUGGGUUUUCGCUUCUAAACUCAUUAAUGAAUUUCCUGAAUAUGAAGAAAUUUAUACACGACGUAUCAUGUUAGAGCAGAUGUAUGACUUGUUUGUAAAUAAAUGAUUA